Molecule: long non-coding RNA, 790 nt
Organism: Carassius carassius (crucian carp)
Lineage: Eukaryota; Metazoa; Chordata; Actinopteri; Cypriniformes; Cyprinidae
Exons: 3
Source: RefSeq, a predicted model, not a curated record
AUGUCCCCCGAUGAGUGCGUAGGCAGCACUGAAGACUGUGUAGGCACUGAUCGUUUGUCAUAUUCCACGCUCUCCAGUGUAGCUCUGGUCUCAUCUCCAGGCCAUUCGGUGCCCUGGGCUGUGCCUUUCAAUAAUAGACAGAUUGUGUGUGGAAAGCCCCAGAGCCAGAGCUACUGAGGACGCUCUGUUAAAAAAAGUCACAGUCUUGAGAUGACUCAGCAGUCUGGCAGCUUCCUUAAAGCCUGCUGGACCUCACCACAUGUACGCAAUGGCCUUGCUGUGUUGUGUACAGCAGUUUAAGAAUAGAGUCCUCUUUGAUUGUAUGUAUAAAGAGUUGAACUGUAAUUAGAGUAAAAUACAGGCUUCUAAUUGUUCUGUAGAGGUCGCUAAACUUUAAUUUGCUCCGUCGCAAGUCCUUCAGACAUAGAUAAGAGCUACACAUGUGUGUUUAGUUAUUUACUCUAAAUAUAUUAUGUCACAACAGAGUUUUCUGAUUGUUCAGAGUGAAUCAGUCUCUCCCAGUUACGUAAUGCUUCAGUCUGCACCUGGACAUGUUGUGACAUCUUUUCCCAAAGGUGCAAAGGUGUCUCUGCGGCUUCAAUGGGGUUAGAGGCGUCCCGCUCAUAAACACACUCACGGGUCAUGAGAGCAAUGACCUGCAGUAAAACACGUCAACUGUGCUCAACAGCUGAGCUCUGAUGAUAAACACUGCAGGAAGACUGCUCAUAUAUGCACAUCCAUCCACAACGAAUUAGUUUGAACUGGUAGAUAAUACGUUUGGUUGAGUCAG